CACCGCGGUUAUACGAGAGGCCUAAGUUGACAGACACCGGCGUAAAGAGUGGUUAAGGAAUAACAAAAACUAAAGCCGAAUAUCCUCAAGACUGUCAUACGUUACCGAGGACAAGAAGACCCACUACGAAAGUGACUUUAAUUUUCCUGACCCCACGAAAGCUGUGAUA
This 169-nucleotide ribosomal RNA is filed under the name Euleptorhamphus viridis (ribbon halfbeak). Its description in RNAcentral is "partial 12S rRNA". The record is from RNAcentral. Lineage: Eukaryota; Metazoa; Chordata; Actinopteri; Beloniformes; Hemiramphidae.